RNAcentral lists this transfer RNA (73 nucleotides) under Ailuropoda melanoleuca (giant panda). It matches the Rfam family "tRNA". Rfam says of the family: Transfer RNA (tRNA) molecules are approximately 80 nucleotides in length. Their secondary structure includes four short double-helical elements and three loops (D, anti-codon, and T loops). Further hydrogen bonds mediate the characteristic L-shaped molecular structure. tRNAs have two regions of fundamental functional importance: the anti-codon, which is responsible for specific mRNA codon recognition, and the 3' end, to which the tRNAs corresponding amino acid is attached (by aminoacyl-tRNA synthetases). tRNAs cope with the degeneracy of the genetic code in two manners: having more than one tRNA (with a specific anti-codon) for a particular amino acid; and 'wobble' base-pairing, i.e. permitting non-standard base-pairing at the 3rd anti-codon position. The record is from Rfam by way of RNAcentral. Lineage: Eukaryota; Metazoa; Chordata; Mammalia; Carnivora; Ursidae.
GCCUGGUUGGUUCAUUUGGUACAGCAUGUGACUCUUGAUCUCAGGGUUGUGAGUUCAAGCCCCACAUUGGGUG